GACAACGCUAGUUGCCAAGACCUAUAAGGAUGAAACUGUGAAGUCCCAUUUUGAAUGCUAUGCAUGGAUUAAUGUUUCUCAGACAUACACGAGAGAUGAUUUACUCAGAAGCUUAAUCAAAGAAUUCCACAAGACAAGGAAGGAACAAGUUCCUGAUGAUUUGUGUACAAAGGGCUUCAACGACCUUGUGGAAUUUCUUAUUGGGUACUUGAAGGAGAAAAAAUAUCUAGUUGUCUUGGACGAUGUGUGGGAUAUAAAUUUAUGGGAGGCAAUAAAGGUAUCACUUCCAAAUAAUGAGCUUGGAAGUCGGAUUAUGCUUACGACUCUAAAAGAAGAUGUGGGAUCUUGUUUUUUCGAUGUUAGAAGUCACAUUCUCCCUAUUCAACCGUUGAAUGAGAAAGAAGCUUGGGAUCUCUUUUGCAUGAAAGCAUUCUCAAGUUAUCCUAAUAAAUCUUGUCCAAAAGAGCUUGAACCUUUGGCAAUAGAACUGGUGGAAAAAUGUAAAGGCCUACCUCUUGC
This 519-nucleotide unclassified non-coding RNA is filed under the name Hevea brasiliensis (rubber tree). The record is from RNAcentral. Lineage: Eukaryota; Viridiplantae; Streptophyta; Magnoliopsida; Malpighiales; Euphorbiaceae.